AAGUCGUAACAAGGUUUCCGUAGGUGAACCUGCGGAAGGAUCAUUAACACGUAUCCUAACGUUAAACCACCCGUGCACAUAUUCAGCUGGUCGUAGAACCGAACUUCGUUUGAUAUCUCGAAGAGUCAGGUAGAGCAUCCCCCCGCCGGGGACUCGUUUGGACCAGUUCGGCAGUCAGAACCCAGUUGUGAUAUCUGGAACUCCAGGCGAAAAUCAGGAACGUAACAGGGAGAGAGACCCUCGCUUUGAGCCAGCACAAGUUUCGAAUCGUUUGCACCCUGUCGGGGACCACUGGGGAGAUGGGAAAUCAGGUCUGGUCAUAGACCGGCCUCUUCCAACCCUGAACAACUGUUAACAAUGGAUAUCUUGGCUCUC
This 375-nucleotide unclassified non-coding RNA is filed under the name fungal sp. Its description in RNAcentral is "partial internal transcribed spacer region". The stretch from base 1 to 46 matches the Rfam family "Eukaryotic small subunit ribosomal RNA", at positions 1786 to 1831 of the family's 1831-position model. The record is from RNAcentral. Lineage: Eukaryota; Fungi.